Molecule: ribosomal RNA, 1165 nt
Filed under: Marinobacter nauticus
Lineage: Bacteria; Pseudomonadati; Pseudomonadota; Gammaproteobacteria; Pseudomonadales; Marinobacteraceae
Description: bacterial SSU rRNA
Rfam family: Bacterial small subunit ribosomal RNA
Source: RNAcentral
UCUGAGCGGCGGAGGGGUGGAGUAAAGCUUAGGAAUCUGCCCAGUAUGGGGGACAACAAUCGGAAACGGUUGCUAAUACCGCAACGUCCUACGGGAGAAAGCAGGGGAUCUUCGGACCUUGCGCUAUUGGAUGAGCCUAAUUCGGAUUAGCUUGUUGGUGGGGUAAUGGCCUACCAAGGCGACGAUCCGUAGCUGGUCUGAGAGGAUGAUCAGCCACAUCGGGACUGAGACACGGCCCGAACUCCUACGGGAGGCAGCAGUGGGGAAUAUUGGACAAUGGGGGAAACCCUGAUCCACCCAUGCCGCGUGUGUGAAGAAAGCUUUCGGGUUGUAAAACACUUUCAGUAGGGAGGAAAACCUUAUGGUUAAUACCCAUAGGGCUUGACGUUACCUACAGAACAAGCACCGGCGAACUCCGUGCCAGCAGCCGCGGUAAUACGGAGGGUGCAAGCGAAAUCGGAUAAACUGGGCGUAAAGCGCGCGUAGGUGGUUUGGUAAGCGAGAUGUGAAAGCCCCGGGCUUAACCUGAGAAACGGGCAUAUUCGAACUGCCAGGCUAGAGUGUGGUAGAGGGUAGUGGAAUUUCCUGUGUAGCGGUGAAAUGCGUAGAUAUAGGAAGGAACACCAGUGGCGAAGGCGGCUACCUGGACCAACACUGACACUGAGGUGCGAAAGCGUGGGGAGCAAACAGGAUUAGAUACCCUGGGUAGUCCACGCCGUAAACGAUGUCAACUAGCCGUUGGGGAUCUUGAAUCCUUAGUGGCGCAGCUAACGCACUAAGUUGACCGCCUGGGGAGUACGGCCGCAAGGUUAAAACUCAAAUGAAUUGACGGGGCCCGCACAAGCGGUGGAGCAUGUGGUUUAAUUCGACGCACGCGAAGACCUUACCUGGCCUUGACAUCUGCGACUUUCUAGAGAAUAGAUAGUGCCUUCGGACGCACUGACAGUGCUGCAUGCGUCGUCAGCUCUGUCUGAGAUGUCGGGUAAGUCCCGUACGAGCGCACCUAGCUGCUGCUAGCAGUAAUGCUGAGACUCAGAACUGCCAGUGACAUCGAGAGGUGGGUAUGACUCAGUCUCAGGCCUACGCAGGCUCACACGUACUCAUGUGUACGAUGCUGCAUCGGGAUGCAUCGUAAUGCCUGACUCGAUCGAUUCUAUUGAAUCGA